Molecule: ribosomal RNA, 160 nt
Filed under: uncultured bacterium
Lineage: Bacteria
Description: partial 16S ribosomal RNA
Rfam family: Bacterial small subunit ribosomal RNA
Source: RNAcentral
UGAGGAAUCUUGCGACAAUGGACGAAAGUCUGACGCAACCGCGCCGCGUGCAGUGAAGAAGGCCCUAUGGGUCGUAAAACGGUUUUUGUCAGGGAAGAAAACCACGGGAUUUGUCCCGUGCUGACGGUACCUGUCGAAGAAGCACCGGCUAACUCCGUGC